This 514-nucleotide ribosomal RNA is filed under the name uncultured Gemmatimonadaceae bacterium. Its description in RNAcentral is "bacterial SSU rRNA". It matches the Rfam family "Bacterial small subunit ribosomal RNA", at positions 8 to 526 of the family's 1533-position model. The record is from RNAcentral. Lineage: Bacteria; Pseudomonadati; Gemmatimonadota; Gemmatimonadia; Gemmatimonadales; Gemmatimonadaceae.
AGAGUUUGAUCCUGGCUCAGGACGAACGCUGGCGGCGUGCCUAACACAUGCAAGUCACGGGGGCCCAGUAGCAAUACUGGGCAACCGGCGAACGGGUGCGUAACACGUGAGCAAUCUGCCGAUUUCUGGGGGAUAGCCGGUCCAACGACCGGGUAAUACCGCAUACGCUCAUUGGGGGGCAUUCCCCGAUGAGGAAACCUCCGGGGGAAAUCGAGGAGCUCGCGGCCUAUCAGCUAGUUGGUGAGGUAACGGCUCACCAAGGCGACGACGGGUAGCUGGUCUGAGAGGAUGGCCAGCCACAUUGGGACUGCGACACGGCCCAGACUCCUACGGGAGGCAGCAGUGGGGAAUAUUGCGCAAUGGACGAAAGUCUGACGCAGCGACGCCGCGUGUGGGAUGAAGCUUUUCGGAGUGUAAACCACUGUUGCUCGGGACGAACAUCCCUUUUCGAGGGGACUGACGGUACCGAGUGAGGAAGCACCGGCUAACUCUGUGCCAGCAGCCGCGGUAAUAC